AAUGAAAUACGAUGAAAUUUGAUGAAAUUUAUUAUCGUCACACACAAGGACGAGCAUGCACAUAUUUAACAACUCAUUCUAAAAUGGUAGAAACAUCACAAACACAGGUGCAUGUGCACAUGCAUGUUCUAAAAUGGUAGAAACAUCACAAACACAGGUGCAUGUGCACAUACACAUGCAACAAUCUAAAGGAUUUGACACAUCUAACAUCCAUGGGAGCAAUUCAGAGUGUUGAUUUCGCACUGGUAGAAGAGAAAUCCCUGCC
This 265-nucleotide long non-coding RNA is filed under the name Lathyrus oleraceus (garden pea). RNAcentral describes it as "Pisum sativum (pea) long non-coding RNA (PSAT_LNC038743)". Lineage: Eukaryota; Viridiplantae; Streptophyta; Magnoliopsida; Fabales; Fabaceae. The record is from RNAcentral.